RNAcentral lists this unclassified non-coding RNA (285 nucleotides) under Hevea brasiliensis (rubber tree). Lineage: Eukaryota; Viridiplantae; Streptophyta; Magnoliopsida; Malpighiales; Euphorbiaceae. The record is from RNAcentral.
AAAAAAAAAAAAGAAAAAAGAAAAAAAAACUGCUAGUACCAUUCUAUUACUUUCUUUUCCUCUUUCUCAUUGUAAAAUUGAGUGCUCUAUUGUCAAGGUCGCUGGUCCACCGGAAAACAUUGGCCACACAUAGUCAUGCCGUUCACAUUGCAAGAUGUGCAAGUUCUAAACCCGAGCUUCUCCGAGUAAAUCUCAUGGCUGCCAUUGCACUGUUCACAGAGAACAAAUCUCAGCCCUCCGCAAAGAUUACAACCACUACUGUUUUCUACAAACGGUAACCCACCA